GGAAAGAUGAAUCAAAGAAGGUAAUAAUCCUGUAGUCGAAAAUGUUGUCUCUCUUGAGUGGAUCCUGAGUACGACGGAGCACGUGAAAUUCCGUCGGAAUCUGGGAGGACCAUCUCCUAAGGCUAAAUACUCUCUAGUGACCGAUAGUGAACCAGUACCGUGAGGGAAAGGUGAAAAGCACCCCGGAAGGGGAGUGAAAUAGAACCUGAAACCGUGUGCUUACAAGUAGUCAGAGCCCGUUAAUGGGUGAUGGCGUGCCUUUUGUAGAAUGAACCGGCGAGUUACGAUUUGAUGCAAGGUUAAGCAGUAAAUGUGGAGCCGUAGCGAAAGCGAGUCUGAAUAGGGCGUUUAGUAUUUGGUCGUAGACCCGAAACCAGGUGAUCUACCCUUGGUCAGGUUGAAGUUCAGGUAACACUGAAUGGAGGACCGAACCGACUUACGUUGAAAAGUGAGCGGAUGAACUGAGGGUAGCGGAGAAAUUCCAAUCGAACCUGGAGAUAGCUGGUUCUCUCCGAAAUAGCUUUAGGGCUAGCCUCAAGUGAUGAUUAUUGGAGGUAGAGCACUGUUUGGACGAGGGGCCCCUCUCGGGUUACCGAAUUCAGACAAACUCCGAAUGCCAAUUAAUUUAACUUGGGAGUCAGAACAUGGGUGAUAAGGUCCGUGUUCGAAAGGGAAACAGCCCAGACCACCAGCUAAGGUCCCAAAAUAUAUGUUAAGUGGAAAAGGAUGUGGCGUUGCCCAGACAACUAGGAUGUUGGCUUAGAAGCAGCCAUCAUUUAAAGAGUGCGUAAUAGCUCACUAGUCGAGUGACACUGCGCCGA
RNAcentral lists this ribosomal RNA (821 nucleotides) under Staphylococcus aureus. RNAcentral describes it as "partial 23S ribosomal RNA". It matches the Rfam family "Bacterial large subunit ribosomal RNA", at positions 344 to 1167 of the family's 2925-position model. Lineage: Bacteria; Bacillati; Bacillota; Bacilli; Caryophanales; Staphylococcaceae. The record is from RNAcentral.